RNAcentral lists this ribosomal RNA (298 nucleotides) under uncultured Burkholderiaceae bacterium. RNAcentral's name for it is "partial 16S ribosomal RNA". It matches the Rfam family "Bacterial small subunit ribosomal RNA", at positions 31 to 331 of the family's 1533-position model. The record is from RNAcentral. Lineage: Bacteria; Pseudomonadati; Pseudomonadota; Betaproteobacteria; Burkholderiales; Burkholderiaceae.
GAACGCUGGCGGCAUGCCUUACACAUGCAAGUCGAACGGCAGCGCGGACUUCGGUCUGGCGGCGAGUGGCGAACGGGUGAGUAAUACAUCGGAACGUACCCUGUUGUGGGGGAUAACUAGUCGAAAGAUUAGCUAAUACCGCAUACGACCUGAGGGUGAAAGCGGGGGACCGUAAGGCCUCGCGCAGCAGGAGCGGCCGAUGUCUGAUUAGCUAGUUGGUGGGGUAAAGGCCCACCAAGGCGACGAUCAGUAGCUGGUCUGAGAGGACGAUCAGCCACACUGGGACUGAGACACGGCC